UAGGGAAUCUUCCACAAUGGGCGCAAGCCUGAUGGAGCAACACCGCGUGAGUGAAGAAGGGUUUCGGCUCGUAAAGCUCUGUUGUUAAAGAAGAACGUGGGUAAGAGUAACUGUUUACCCAGUGACGGUAUUUUAACCAGAAAGCCACGGCUAACUACGCGCCAG
RNAcentral lists this ribosomal RNA (165 nucleotides) under uncultured bacterium. RNAcentral describes it as "partial 16S ribosomal RNA". It matches the Rfam family "Bacterial small subunit ribosomal RNA", at positions 355 to 511 of the family's 1533-position model. The record is from RNAcentral.